AGGACGAAACGCUGGCGGCGUGCUUAACACAUGCAAGUCGAGCGGAAAGGCCCUUCGGGUACUCGAGCGGCGAACGGGUGAGUAACACGUGAGCAACCUGCCCUUAGCUUCGGGAUAGCUCCGGGAAACCGGAAUUAAAUACCGAAUAUGACUUUGGCUGACAUCAGCAGAAGUGGAAAGUUUUUCGGCUAGGGAUGGACUCGCGGCCUAUCAGCUAGUUGGUGAGGUAACGGCCCACAAGGCGACGACGGGGUA
RNAcentral lists this ribosomal RNA (255 nucleotides) under uncultured bacterium. RNAcentral's name for it is "partial small subunit ribosomal RNA". It matches the Rfam family "Bacterial small subunit ribosomal RNA", at positions 32 to 285 of the family's 1533-position model. The record is from RNAcentral.